ACGGGAGGCAGCAGUGGGGAAUAUUGGGCAAUGGGCGCAAGCCUGACCCAGCGACGCCGCGUGAGGGAAGAAGGUCUUCGGAUUGUAAACCUCUUUCAGCAGGGAAGAAGCAAGUGACGGUACCUGCAGGAGAAGUCACGGCUAACUACGUGCCAGCAGCCGCGGUAAUACGUAGGUGGCGAGCGUUAUCCGGAAUUACUGGGUGUAAAGGGUGUGUAGGCGGAGAAGCAAGUCAGGCGUGAAAUUUAUGGGCUCAACUCAUAAACUGCGCUUGAAACUGUUUCCCUUGAGAGUGGGAGAGGUAAACGGAAUUCCUGGUGUAGUAGUGAAAUGCGUAGAUAUCAGGAGGAACACCGGUGGCGAAGGCGGUUUACUGGACCACAACUGACGCUGAGACACGAAAGCGUGGGGAGCAAACAGGAUUAGAUACCCUGGUA
Molecule: ribosomal RNA, 437 nt
Filed under: uncultured Oscillospiraceae bacterium
Lineage: Bacteria; Bacillati; Bacillota; Clostridia; Eubacteriales; Oscillospiraceae
Description: partial 16S ribosomal RNA
Rfam family: Bacterial small subunit ribosomal RNA
Source: RNAcentral